AGUUUAGAAUUUUCCGCUGGUGCACGGGAAGCUGGUGAGAAUCCAGCACAGCCCCGCUACUGUAAGCGCGGAGGGUCGCUCGACUAAGCCACUGUUCCAUUCGUGGAAUGGGAAGGCCGGGCGGUCUGAAGAUGCGUAAGUCAGGAGACCGGCCAGCGAGAUUGCAUGAAUC
This 172-nucleotide non-coding RNA is filed under the name Candidatus Sulfopaludibacter sp. SbA3. Lineage: Bacteria; Pseudomonadati; Acidobacteriota; Terriglobia; Bryobacterales; Solibacteraceae. The record is from RNAcentral.